This is a long non-coding RNA of Heterocephalus glaber (naked mole-rat), 1645 nucleotides long. RefSeq lists it as uncharacterized. NCBI's taxonomy places the organism in Eukaryota, Metazoa, Chordata, Mammalia, Rodentia, Bathyergidae. The record is from RefSeq and is a predicted model, not a curated record.
UGAGGGGCAGGUGCGCUGGAGACACUCCUUUCCACAGUGCUCAGGGUGCUGGGCGGGCCCGGAGAAGACGCUCUCGGCUCUGACCGAGCCUGUGACCAAUGCCACAGACCCCUCCACCUAUGACAGCAGCAGCUCUGCAAGAAGCAGGCCCCUGAGCCAAGCCUGCAGAAGGCUGCCUGCAUCCACCCUAAACCCACCAGGAUGACCACCUAAGAAAAUGAACAUAUUUAUUUCUACAUUCGGAAAUAAUUAGAAACAAUGUGACAGUUUAUUAAAUAAAGUUGAAGUAACAAGAACCUUCCUUUAACUUCCAAAGUCAAAGAUUUUGAAGAAAAAAAUGGUUUUUAUGUUGAGACAGGGACUCGCUAAGUUGCCCAGGCAGGACUUGAACUUGCAAUCCUUCAGCUUCACCCUCCCAGAUGCUGGGAUUCUAAGUAUGCACCACUGUCCCAGCAUAGGAGAAGAGAUCUUUAUCUACUCUCCAAAAGGAUUGUUCCAAGCCCUCCUGGAUCUGCCUCUAAUUAUGCACAUAGGAAUCAUGCUUCACUAAUACAGAUAUGUACAGCCUGGUAAAGGACACUGGAGCCUGGACCUGUGCUCCCAUCCCAUGGUGUGUGUUGAUGAAUCUAGAGUUUUCCCUUUUGUGCUUCUGUCCUGCCCCAUGUGUAUUCAGUGGAAAGAAAACAUGGCCUUUGAUACCAGAGAGACCUAGAACCAAAUCCAAUGUGGAUCCCACCUUUGAGGACCUGGGUGCACUUGGACAAGAGUCUUUCUCUAAGACACAGUUUUCUUUAUCAUUUUCUGGGUUAUGGUAAAAAUUACAGGUAAUAAUUGUUAAGAAUUUGCAUGGAGACUACACAUGGAAAAUAGGCAUGACUAUGAGAUUUGGUAUUUAUGAGGCAUCAUUGAAACAUAUGGUGAAUAUUUAAAUUAAAAAUUUAUUAUGGUAAAGGACACAUUGCCAUUACAGUACUAAGCCCCCUCACAACAUUCUCCUUUGCUUCAAAUGCCCUUGUCCCGUCAUUCUUGACACUUUCUGAAGCAGUUUGGGAAGCCCUCUUUUGUGAAUGCAUUGUCAUGGCUGCCCCAACAUUCUGAACUGACUCUAAAUGAUCAUUUUGAGAUUAAGGCAGGGCCAGAAGUCUCAUGGUAUCAGAUCCAGAGAAUAGGUGGAUAAGGACACACUGCGAUGUUUUUACAAGCCUACCUUUGGAUGGGUGACCCUUGGCAGUAGCAUUCACCAAAUUUUUGAUCACACCUCAUAAAGACUCACAAAUGAGGAUUUUCAUUACUGCUUCAGAAAGUGACAAGGAUGAUGGGUUGGCUAAGUGUGUUCAGAAUGAGGGUGAAUGUUUUGAGGGAAAUUAAUGGCAAUUUGUCUUUUAUUGUAAUAAUUUUUUUAUUUAAAUCUUUAUCGUAUAUUUCACCUCCUAAGUGUCAGUUUAUGUACCACCUGUUUGAAAUCUUCUUGGAAGCUUUGUAGAUGGAAACAAGUUCUGCCUGCUUGAGUACCCAAAUGUGUUUUAUUUGUACUUACUUUUAUACUGGCAUCUUAGCUACUGUAUAUAAAGUACAGUAGGAAUAGAUUGUCUGCUCUAUAAAACUUGAAAUUUCUAUAGAAAAGAUUCUAACUUCUAUAUUUACA